GAUGAACGCUAGCGGCAGGCUUAAUACAUGCAAGUCGAGGGGCAGCGCAGUGUAGCAAUACAUGGGCGGCGACCGGCAAACGGGUGCGGAACACGUACGCAACCUUCCUUUAAGUGGAGAAUAGCCCAGGGAAACUUGGAUUAAUACUUCGUAACAUUAUGAGAUGGCAUCAUCUUAUAAUUAUAGCUCCGGCGCCUAAAGAUGGGCGUGCGUCUGAUUAGGUAGUUGGCGGGGUAACGGCCCGCCAAGCCUGCGAUCUGUAGCUGGUCUGAGAGGACGACCAGCCACACUGGGACUGAGACACGGCCCAGACUCCUACGGGAGGCAGCAGUGGGGAAUUUUGGACAAUGGGCGCAAGCCUGAUCCAGCCAUUCCGCGUGCAGGACGAAGGCCUUCGGGUUGUAAACUGCUUUUGUACGGAACGAAAAGGCUCUGGUUAAUACCUGGGGCUCAUGACGGUACCGUAAGAAUAAGCACCGGCUAACUACGUGCCAGCCGCCGCAGUAA
RNAcentral lists this ribosomal RNA (507 nucleotides) under uncultured bacterium. RNAcentral describes it as "partial 16S ribosomal RNA". It matches the Rfam family "Bacterial small subunit ribosomal RNA", at positions 28 to 523 of the family's 1533-position model. The record is from RNAcentral.